Molecule: long non-coding RNA, 525 nt
Filed under: Hordeum vulgare
Lineage: Eukaryota; Viridiplantae; Streptophyta; Magnoliopsida; Poales; Poaceae
Description: long non-coding RNA (HVUL_LNC017798)
Source: RNAcentral
CGCUCCAAGGAUUUAUUGAGUACUUGGCAACCAACAUAAGUAUGCAUCUUGUGGGGAUGUCUCAUUGAAAAGGCAGGUCUCAUAUGUUAAAUAUAAAUAUUAAGAUCAGAUGGCCCUCAAGGAAAGUCACCCUAUGAGAAAUUUCUCACCUACAAAGAAUUCAAAUAGAUGUGUUGAAGAUCAUGAAAGAAAGGAAAAAGAAUUUGAUCCAUCUCCUCCGUUUCUUUAAACAAGAGCUGCUCCUCCAUUGGCAUCGCAUUUUUAUUUCCUAAAAACACAUAUUAGUCUACACUUCCAUGACUUUUACUAAAUGCAUUAGUACAAAAAAAGUAGUCACCAGCCAAGGUCUAACGAUUUUGUAAUGCAUUUUAUGCGAAGGAUGAUGAAACUAAUUAUCGAUAUAUGAAAACACAUGAAAGAUGUUUCAUGUAUUAUUUUUAAAGUAAAAAAGGCAACAUGAUUUUUUAGGCAUAUAGCAACAAAAUAAACUUUAUUCACUUCUUUCCCUAAUAAUAAAGCAUCUAC